RNAcentral lists this long non-coding RNA (590 nucleotides) under Chinchilla lanigera (long-tailed chinchilla). RNAcentral's name for it is "lncRNA (ENSCLAG00000028128.1)". Lineage: Eukaryota; Metazoa; Chordata; Mammalia; Rodentia; Chinchillidae. The record is from RNAcentral.
CCAAAAUAGCAAAAGAAUUGCUGCAUUAAAAGAGCAAAGUGGGAGACAUCACCAUCUUGGACUUGAAGCUAUAUUACAAACUACUGUGAUAAAAACAAACAAACAAGCAUGGUACUGGCACAAAAACAGACAUGAGGAUCAAUGGAACAGAGCAGAGGACGCAGAAACAACCCCAAGCACAUUCAACUAUUUCACCUUUGACAAAGGGGACAGAAACACACACUGGCAGAAAGAUAGACUCUUUGAUAAAUGAUGUUGGGAGAACUGGUUAUCCACAUGCAGGAGAUUAAAUCUAGACCUCGAACGAGGAAAUGAAACUUAAAACAUAGACAAAGGCCGGUUCUGAGCAUUUCUCGAUGGUUUUAUCAACUGAGCACUUUUUGCCAUCCGUGUUUGUGAGAGGUGAAGUGACUCAACAUCCUGCUUUGCCUGAAACAGUUCUGGCUUGUGUCUAUUAUCCCAGUACAAUUACUAAUGGCAUCCUGUUCUACUUUCGCUUGGUUUAUCUGCUCACUGUAAACAAAGCACCCACCUGCCCUUCCACUUUCUGCCAUCGGUUGAAACCAGCUGAGACCCUCAGCAGAAGUUAA